Molecule: ribosomal RNA, 305 nt
Filed under: uncultured bacterium
Lineage: Bacteria
Description: bacterial SSU rRNA
Rfam family: Bacterial small subunit ribosomal RNA
Source: RNAcentral
CUUUUCCUACGGGGGGCAGCAGUGGGGAAUAUUGCACAAUGGGGGAAACCCUGAUGCAGCGACGCCGCGUGAGUGAAGAAGUAUUUCGGUAUGUAAAGCUCUAUCAGCAGGGAAGAUAAUGACGGUACCUGACUAAGAAGCCCCGGCUAACUACGUGCCAGCAGCCGCGGUAAUACGUAGGGGGCAAGCGUUAUCCGGAUUUACUGGGUGUAAAGGGAGCGUAGACGGCAGCGCAAGUCCGAAGUGACAGCCCGGGGCCCAGCCCCGGGACUGCUUUGGAAACUGUGAAGCUGGAGUGCGGGAGG